AUCUAUCACUAUUAUAGAGCCGCAUCUACAGCCGAAAGGGAAUCAGGUCCUUAUUCCUGAACCUGGUAGCGUAACCGUUUGGGAGCCUCGUAUCUCACGUGGUAACACGAAUAGAGCUUGAGACGCCCGCCCGAAGUCUGGAAAGAGUUUUCUUUUCUGUAUAAGCAACCAAGGCCCUGGAAUUUCUUUGAGAAGAGAAUGGGUUUUGGUUUAGCCAAGAGCACAGCAGUUCUCGCUGUGUCCAUGACCGUCGGGCGGGACCUUGAAAAUCAAGCUGAAGGCUUCGGCGAGUCGCACCAGCGCGUACCCAUAUCCGCAGCAGGUCUCCUAGGUUAAUAGCCUCUGGUCGAUAGAAUAAUGUAGGUAAGGGAAGUCGGCAAAUUGGUUCCGUAACUUCGGGAAAAGGAAUGGCUCUGAAGGCCGGGGUGUCCGGGCUUGGGCAGGAAGCAGUCGGCUUAUCGGCGGGCCUGGCCAAGCCUUCGCGGCGAAGUCGGUCCCGUUCUCAAGCUACUGUGGAGCGCCCUUGCUUCGCAGUCCUGGGCAACCAGGUAACUGUUCGGGUAUCAAUUAACGGCUAAUUCAGAACUGGCACGGACAAGGGGAAUCCGACUGUUUAAUUAAAACAAAGCAUUGCGAUGGUCAGAGAGUGAUGUUGACGCAAUGUGAUUUCUGCCCAGUGCUCUGAAUGUCAAAGUGAAGAGAUUCGUCCAAGCGCGGGUAAACGGCGGGAGUAACUAUGACUCUCUUAAGGUAGCCAAAUGCCUCGUCAGAUAACUACUGACGCGCAUGAAUGGAUUAACGAGAUUCCCACUGUCCCUAUCUACUAUCUAGCGAAACCGCAGCCAAGGGAACGGACUUGGGAGAUUCAGCGGGGAAAGAAGACCCUGUUGAGCUUGACUCUAGUCUCCUAUUGUGGCGAAGCAUUUCUGGUGUAGAAUAGGGAGGAGCUUCGGCAACAGUGAAAUACUCCUACGGAAAUCGCUUCUCUGCUUACUCGGUUAAGCGAAGUUAGCCCUCUCGGGGGCUAUUUCUUGAAUCAAAUAGCAGGUCUCUGACUUGUUAUGAUUCGCUCCGAGGACAUUGCGAGGCGGGGAGUUUGACUGGGGCGGUACAUCUGUCAAAUGAUAACGCAGGUGUCCUAAGGCCAGCUCAGUGAGGACGGAAACCUCACGUGGAGUAAAAGGGCAAAAGCUGGCUUGACCUUUCCUUUCAGUACGAGGCAAGGAGCAGAAAUGUCGGCCUAUCGAUCCUCUUUAUUUCGGAGUUUGAAGAAAGAGGUGCCAGAAAAGUUACCACAGGGAUAACUGGCUUGUGGCUGCCAAGCGUUCAUAGCGACGUAGCUUUUUGAUCCUUCGAUGUCGGCUCUUCCUAUCAUUCAGAAGCAGAAUUCUGAUAGUGUCGGAUUGUUCACCCGCCAAUAGGGAACGUGAGCUGGGUUUAGACCGUCGUGAGACAGGUUAGUUUUACCCUACUGAUGACAUGAAGUUGCGAUAGUAAUCUUGCUCAGUACGAGAGGAACCGCAAGUUCGGACAUUUGGUACACGUACUCAGUCGAUCGGCUGAUGGUGCGAAGCUACCAUCCGUGGGAAUAUGCCUGAACGCCUCUAAGGCAGAAACCCGCCUAGACAUGGCAACUUUACUGUUGGGCUGGAGAUCUGUACGGGGAACGAUAGGCUUUGCCUCCACCCCGGUGUAAGGUUCUUGACUUGUGCUUGAAGUGCGCUUGUCUUUCCUGACCAUCCAAUUAUCGGAGUUCUGGUCCCAAAUCGUUUGU
This 1774-nucleotide ribosomal RNA is filed under the name Epischura baikalensis. RNAcentral describes it as "eukaryotic LSU rRNA". It matches the Rfam family "Eukaryotic large subunit ribosomal RNA", at positions 1562 to 3308 of the family's 3401-position model. Lineage: Eukaryota; Metazoa; Arthropoda; Copepoda; Calanoida; Temoridae. The record is from RNAcentral.